UACGGAGGGGACUAGCGUUGUUCGGAAUUACUGGGCGUAAAGCGCACGUAGGCGGAUUUGUAAGUCAGGGGUGAAAUCCCGAGGCUCAACCUCGGAACUGCCUUUGAUACUGCAAAUCUCGAGUCCGGAAGAGGUGAGUGGAAUUCCUAGUGUAGAGGUGAAAUUCGUAGAUAUUAGGAAGAACACCAGUGGCGAAGGCGGCUCACUGGUCCGGCACUGACGCUGAGGUGCGAAAGCGUGGGGAGCAAACAGG
This 253-nucleotide ribosomal RNA is filed under the name uncultured bacterium. RNAcentral's name for it is "partial 16S ribosomal RNA". It matches the Rfam family "Bacterial small subunit ribosomal RNA", at positions 524 to 776 of the family's 1533-position model. The record is from RNAcentral.